Molecule: ribosomal RNA, 1470 nt
Filed under: Nocardiopsis alba
Lineage: Bacteria; Bacillati; Actinomycetota; Actinomycetes; Streptosporangiales; Nocardiopsidaceae
Description: bacterial SSU rRNA
Rfam family: Bacterial small subunit ribosomal RNA
Source: RNAcentral
UUACGGGUAGCCGGCCUGAGAGGGCGACCGGCCACACUGGGACUGAGACACGGCCCAGACUCCCGGGGCAGCAGUGGGGAAUAUUGCGCAAUGGGCGAAAGCCUGACGCAGCGACGCCGCGUGGGGGAUGACGGCCUUCGGGUUGUAAACCUCUUUUACCCAACGCAGGCUCCGGGUUCUCUCGGGGUUGACGGUAGGUGGGGAAUAAGGACCGGCUAACUACGUGCCAGCAGCCGCGGUAAUACGUAGGGUCCGAGCGUUGUCCGGAAUUAUUGCGUAAAGAGCUCGUAGGCGGCGUGUCGCGUCUGCUGAAAGACCGGGGCUUAACUCCGGCUGCAGUGGAUACGGGCAUGCUAGAGGUAGGUAGGGGAGACUGGAAUUCCUGGUGUAGCGGUGAAAUGCGCAGAUAUCAGGAGGAACACCGGUGGCGAAGGCGGGUCUCUGGGUUACCUGACGCUGAGGAGCGAAAGCAUGGGGAGCGAAGGAUUAGAUACCCUGGUAGUCCAUGCCGUAAACGUUGGGCGCUAGGUGUGGGGACUUUCCACGGUUUCCGCGCCGUAGCUAACGCAUUAAGCCCCGCCUGGGGAGUGGCCGCAAGGCUAAAACUCAAAGGAAUUGACGGGGGCCCGCACAAGCGGCGGAGCAUUGCUUAAUUCGACGCAACGCGAAGAACCUUACCAAGGUUUGACAUCACCCGUGGACCUGUAGAGAUACAGGGUCAUUUAGUUGGUGGGUGACAGGUGGUGCAUGGGACGCAGCGGCCGCGUGGGGGAUGACGGUUCGGGUUGUAAACCUUUACCAAACGCAGGCUCCGGGUCGGGGUUGAGUAUGGGGAAUAAGGAGGCUAACUACGUGCGCAGCCGCGGUAAUGUAGGGUCCACGUAAAGAGCUUACGGCGUGUCGCGUCUGCUGUGACCGGGGCUUAACUCGCUGCAGUGGAUACGAUGCUAGAGGUAGGUAGGGGAUAUUCCUGGUGUAGCAUGCGGCGAAACCUGACGCUGAAAGCAUGGAGCGCAGGAAGAUACCCUGGUAGUCCACCGUAAACGUUGGGCUAGGUGUGGGGACUCCGUCCGCGUAACAUUAAGCCCUGGGGAGUAGCCGCAAUAAAACUCAAAGGAAUUGACGGGCCCGCACAAGCCGGAGCAUGUUGUAACGGAACCUUACCAAUUGACAUCACGUGGACCUGUAGAGAUACAAUUUAGUUGGUGGGUGAGGUGGUGCGGCUUCAGCUCGUGGUGAGAUGUUGGGUAGUCCCGCAACCAACCCUUGUUCCAUGUUGCCAGCACGUAAUGGUGGGGACUCAACUGCCGGGCUCAGGAAGGUGGGGACGUCAAGUUCAUGCCCCUUAUCUUGGGCUGCAAUACAAUGGCCGGUACAAUGGGCGUGCGACCGUAAGGUGGAGAAUCCCUAAGCCGGUCUCAGUUCGGAUUGGGGUCUGCAACUCGACCCCAUGGGUGGAGUCGCUAGUAA